Molecule: ribosomal RNA, 114 nt
Filed under: Mytilus edulis (blue mussel)
Lineage: Eukaryota; Metazoa; Mollusca; Bivalvia; Mytilida; Mytilidae
Source: RNAcentral
CUACGACCAUAUCACGCUGAAAACACCGGUUCUCGUCCGAUCACCGAAGUUAAGCAACGUCGAGCCCGGUUAGUACUUGGAUGGGUGACCGCCUGGGAAUACCGGGUGUUGUAG